AGGACGAACGCUGGCGGCGUGCUUAACACAUGCAAGUCGAGCGGAAAGGCCCUUCGGGGUACUCGAGCGGCGAACGGGUGAGUAACACGUGAGUAACCUGCCCUGGACUUUGGGAUAACCCUCGGAAACGGGGGCUAAUACCGAAUAUGACCUGGUUUCGCAUGUGACUGGGUGGAAAGUUUUUCGGUCUGGGAUGGACUCGCGGCCUAUCAGCUUGUUGGUGAGGUAAUGGCUCACCAAGGCGACGACGGGUAGCCGGCCUGAGAGGGCGACCGGGCCAACGACUGGAACUGAGACACGGUCCAGACUCCUACGGGAGGCAGCAGUGGGGAAUAUUGCGCAAUGGGCGAAAGCCUGACGCAGCGACGCCGCGUGAGGGAUGAAGGUCUUCGGAUUGUAAACCUCUUUCAGCAGGGACGAAGCGCAAGUGACGGUACCUGCAGAAGAAGCACCGGCUAACUACGUGCCAGCAGCCGC
This 477-nucleotide ribosomal RNA is filed under the name uncultured bacterium. RNAcentral's name for it is "SSU rRNA". It matches the Rfam family "Bacterial small subunit ribosomal RNA", at positions 26 to 518 of the family's 1533-position model. The record is from RNAcentral.